CCCAGCACCAGGUUCCGGUGAGGACCAUAGCAACUCCUGUCCGCACUUUGCAUACUUACAUUAGUUUCCUGAAGAAUUCUCCCAUUGUGCCUUGCCCGACAUCUGAGAGCAGUGAGUGGUCUGCCUGGCAUUGAAAAGGAAAAAGUUUCUGGAAGACCCACCUGGGGCUAGAAGCCUUGAAGUUGCUGCCCUGUUCUCUAGCCACUUGGGAGGACAAGGGUCUGUCUCAUCCCAAUGUAGUGCACGGGGACACGGGUCACGCUUUGAAGAGGGCGUGACAAAGGGGCUGUUCUCCGACACUCGCAUGGCAGGGAAUUUCUUGGUCCGCUGGUCCCUCAAUGACACAAUCAAUGAGUAAAGGGGGAUACCUUUACUCAUCACCUCAGACCUGAGCACGCCCUGGGCCCCAUUUGGGCAGAGCUUUGCUCUUUGCUUUUCUUUUAAAGUAAAGGGCCCAUCUGCUGCAGCUAGUGACCUGGCCAAAAAAGACACAGACUGCUGUGAAAUGAUUGAGGGCAGUGACUCCCCUCCCACCCCAGGAGCCAGAGCCGACAGAGCCAAGAGCAAGGCAGGAAUUCAGGUCCCCAAAAGCAAGCCAGAAGCACCACCUCCAAGCGCCCUGCCACUUCCUUUGUUCUUUGUUAAUUGCAAAAUAAACACAACCCUGCCCACCG
Long non-coding RNA from Homo sapiens (human), 674 nucleotides. NCBI's taxonomy places the organism in Eukaryota, Metazoa, Chordata, Mammalia, Primates, Hominidae. The record is from Ensembl.